This 503-nucleotide ribosomal RNA is filed under the name uncultured bacterium. RNAcentral's name for it is "partial 16S ribosomal RNA". It matches the Rfam family "Bacterial small subunit ribosomal RNA", at positions 28 to 523 of the family's 1533-position model. The record is from RNAcentral.
GAUGAACGCUAGCGGCAGGCCUAACUCAUGCAAGUCGAGGGGUAGCAGGAUUAAGCUUGCUUAAUUGCUGACGACCGGCGCACGGGUGCGUAACGCGUAUGCAACCUACCUUAUACUGGGGUAUAGCCCGGAGAAAUUCGGAUUAAUCCCCCAUAGUACUAAUGAAUCGCAUGGUUUAUUAGUUAAAGCAUUGCGGUAUAAGAUGGGCAUGCGUCCUAUUAGCUAGAUGGUGAGGUAACGGCUCACCAUGGCUACGAUAGGUAGGGGGCCUGGGAGGGUGGUCCCCCACACUGGUACUGAGACACGGACCAGACUCCUACGGGAGGCAGCAGUGAGGAAUAUUGGUCAAUGGGCGCAAGCCUGAACCAGCCAUGCCGCGUGCAGGAAGAAUGCCCUAUGGGUUGUAAACUGCUUUUAUUUGGGAAUAAACCUCUUUACGUGUAGAGAGCUGAAGGUACCAAAUGAAUAAGCACCGGCUAACUCCGUGCCAGCCGCCGCAGUAA